CCUACGGGCGGCAGCAGUGGGAAUAUUUCACAAUGGGGGAAACCCUGAUGCAGCGACGCCGCGUGAGUGAAGAAGUAUUUCGGUAUGUAAAGCUCUAUCAGCAGGGAAGAAAAUGACGGUACCUGAUUAAGAAGCCCCGGCUACAUACGUGCCAGCAGCCGCGGUAAUACGUAGGGGGCAAGCGUUAUCCGGAUUUACUGGGUGUAAAGGGAGCGUAGACGGCAGCACACGUCUGGAGUGAAAUGCCGGGGCUUAACCCCGGAACUGCUGUGGAAACUGGGCAGAGAGAGUGCAGGAGAGGUAAGUGGAAUGCGUAGGGUAGCGGUGAAAUGCGGAGAUAUUAGGAGGAACACGAGUGGCGAAGGCGGCUUACUGGACUGUAACUGACGUUGAGGCUCGAAAGCGUGGGGAGCAAACAGGAUUAGAUACCCCUGUAGUC
This 439-nucleotide ribosomal RNA is filed under the name uncultured bacterium. Its description in RNAcentral is "partial 16S ribosomal RNA". It matches the Rfam family "Bacterial small subunit ribosomal RNA", at positions 338 to 795 of the family's 1533-position model. The record is from RNAcentral.